GCAUGUAGCUCAGCGGUAGAGCAUGUGUUUAGCAUGUGUAAGGUCCUGGGUUCAAUCUCCAGCACCA
This 67-nucleotide transfer RNA is filed under the name Marmota monax (woodchuck). Its description in RNAcentral is "tRNA.Ala". It matches the Rfam family "tRNA", at positions 6 to 65 of the family's 71-position model. From Rfam's summary of the family: Transfer RNA (tRNA) molecules are approximately 80 nucleotides in length. Their secondary structure includes four short double-helical elements and three loops (D, anti-codon, and T loops). The record is from RNAcentral. Lineage: Eukaryota; Metazoa; Chordata; Mammalia; Rodentia; Sciuridae.